GCCUAACUGUAGUUUAUCCCUUUUAUAAUUGGGUUGAGAGUAAAUAGUCUUUUGUGUAUUAUUUCUUGCAGAUCUAUAAGUUUUCAUGAUGAGGGUGAUAAAUAGUAGAUCUAUGUAGGGGUUGUCAUAGUCAAAUCAGAAAAUUAGUGGUCUUUCACGUUUGAGAAUGAAAUCUAGCGGAGAUUAAAUAAGUUGGUGGUGAUAGGUCCUUAUGUCAUCCAGCGUCCCCUUUUGACAUCGAAUUUGUUGUCCUCGAUGGGUGGCUUAGCAAGGAAAGCUAAAAUCUUUGAAGGAUUCAUUGUCUUCUCAAGCAGCAUAGGAGAAAAUGAUUUGGCUACUAGAGUAUUCUCUCUGUUUCUAGACAUCUCUGUGUCGAUUUCUUUAUUCUAGGUUUGAUUGAGUUUUGGUUUUGCUAUGGAGUAUGAUCAAUGGACAUAGAGUUUGCCUAUGGGUGAACUUUCAAUCUUUUGAUGGUGCCAUGCAGCAAAGCUAAGCUAUGGUAAA
Molecule: unclassified non-coding RNA, 504 nt
Filed under: Hevea brasiliensis (rubber tree)
Lineage: Eukaryota; Viridiplantae; Streptophyta; Magnoliopsida; Malpighiales; Euphorbiaceae
Source: RNAcentral